UACGUAGGGGGCUAGCGUUGUCCGGAUUUAUUGGGCGUAAAGAGCGUGUAGGCGGCCAGGUAGGUCUGGUGUGAAAACUCGAGGCUUAACCUCGAGAUGUCAUCGGAAACCAUUUGGCUAGAGUCCGGAAGAGGAGAGUGGAAUUCCUGGUGUAGCGGUGAAAUGCGCGGAUAUCAGGAAGAACACCAAUGGCGAAAGCAGCUCUCUGGGACGGUACUGACGCUGAGACGCGAAAGCGUGGGGAGCGAACAGG
This 253-nucleotide ribosomal RNA is filed under the name uncultured bacterium. RNAcentral describes it as "partial 16S ribosomal RNA". It matches the Rfam family "Bacterial small subunit ribosomal RNA", at positions 524 to 776 of the family's 1533-position model. The record is from RNAcentral.